RNAcentral lists this ribosomal RNA (1348 nucleotides) under metagenome. Its description in RNAcentral is "bacterial LSU rRNA". It matches the Rfam family "Bacterial large subunit ribosomal RNA", at positions 1554 to 2925 of the family's 2925-position model. The record is from RNAcentral.
GCCGAAGACGUGAUGUGGAGCGAAAUAAAGUAGUGAAGCGUGUGAGCCAUGUGCCGAGAAAAGCUGCUAUUGUGUAAUGCGUGCCCGUACCGUAAACCGACACAGGUGGAUGAGGAGAGAAUCCUAAGGCCGACGGAAGAAGCAUUGUUAAGGAAUUCGGCAAAAUGACCCCGUAACUUCGGGAGAAGGGGUGCCUGCGAGAGCAGGCCGCAGAGAAUAGGCUCAAGCAACUGUUUAGCAAAAACACAGGUCUAUGCGAAACCGAAAGGUGAAGUAUAUGGGCUGACGCCUGCCCGGUGCUGGAAGGUUAAGAGGAGAGGUUAGCGUAAGCGAAGCCUUGAAUUUAAGCCCCAGUAAACGGCGGCCGUAACUAUAACGGUCCUAAGGUAGCGAAAUUCCUUGUCGGGUAAGUUCCGACCCGCACGAAAGGCGUAAUGAUUUGAGCACUGUCUCGACAAUGCAUCCGGUGAAAUUGAGGUACCAGUGAAGAUGCUGGUUACCCGCGCCAGGACGGAAAGACCCCAUGGAGCUUUACUCCAGUUUGAUACUGGGAUUCGGUACUGCAUGUACAGGAUAGGUGGGAGACGAAGAAGGAUGGACGCCAGUCUGUCCGGAGUCGCUGUUGGGAUACCACCCCUGUAGUACUGGGUUUCUAACCAGUUGCCAUGAACUGGCAAUGGGACAAUGUCAGGCGGGGAGUUUGACUGGGGCGGUCGCCUCCGAAAGGGUAUCGGAGGCGCUCAAAGGUUCCCUCAGAAUGGUUGGAAACCAUUUGAAGAGUGCAAAGGCAGAAGGGAGCUUGACUGCGACACCGACGGGUGGAGCAGGUACGAAAGUAGGACUUAGUGAUCCGGUGGUAUAAAGUGGGAUUGCCAUCGCUCAACGGAUAAAAGCUACCCUGGGAUAACAGGCUUAUCACUCCCAAGAGUUCACAUCGACGGAGUGGUUUGGCACCUCGAUGUCGGCUCAUCGCAUCCUGGGGCUGUAGCAGGUCCCAAGGGUUGGGCUGUUCGCCCAUUAAAGCGGUACGCGAGCUGGGUUCAGAACGUCGUGAGACAGUUCGGUCCCUAUCCGGCGCGGGCGGAGGAUAUUUGAGAGGAGCUGUCCUUAGUACGAGAGGACCGGGAUGGACGGACCACUGGUGUAUCUGUUGUCGACCAACGGCAUGGCAGAGUAGCCAAGUCUGGAAGGGAUAAACGCUGAAGGCAUCUAAGCGUGAAGCCCCCCUCAAGAUGAGAUAUCCCUCCUUCGGGAGUAAGACCCCUUGAAGACUACAAGGUAGAUAGGGCAGAGGUGGAAGCAUGGCAACAUGUGGAGCUGACUGUUACUAAUAGGUCGAGGGCUUAAU